GCAAAAAUGAGAGGAGACGCCGAAGUUCUCUUGCUGGACAGCAAGGGACGUGAAGUGGAAAUGAUGCUCAAGCAAGCACUCUAUAUACCAUCAUUUCCACAAAACAUCUUUUCUGUCAAAGCCGCGACUGCCAGCGGUGCAGAGUAAAUGAAAACGGUUUUGUACAAAAUGAUGCUGAUCAUUGUGUCUACUGCAAGGAAUCUGAAAAUGAGAAAGUAAUCCUGUUAGUAUGAGUAGACGACUUGAUUGUAGCGGCGAGUAACAACACCUCAUGAUGUCAAAGAAAUGUUGAAGAGAAGGUUUAAGAUGAAAGACAUGGGUCCACUUAGACACUUCCUUGGUAUUGACUUUAAGCAGAGUGAAGGAGAAAUCAAAAUGACACAAGAGAGAUACAUUAAGAAGCUGUUGGAAAAUUUUGGAAUGUCUGAAUGUAAACCAAGAUACACCCCAUGUGAACAC
This is a long non-coding RNA of Thalassophryne amazonica, 459 nucleotides long. RefSeq lists it as uncharacterized. NCBI's taxonomy places the organism in Eukaryota, Metazoa, Chordata, Actinopteri, Batrachoidiformes, Batrachoididae. The transcript has 3 exons. The record is from RefSeq and is a predicted model, not a curated record.